RNAcentral lists this transfer RNA (58 nucleotides) under Operophtera brumata (winter moth). The record is from Rfam by way of RNAcentral. Lineage: Eukaryota; Metazoa; Arthropoda; Insecta; Lepidoptera; Geometridae.
CGUUCUGUGGCCGAAUUGGUCACAGGCGAGGUUGCGGGUUCGAGUCCCGCUGGAACGG